UGGCGGACGGGUGAGUAAUGUCUGGGAAACUGCCUGAUGGAGGGGGAUAACUACUGGAAACGGUAGCUAAUACCGCAUAACGUCGCAAGACCAAAGAGGGGGACCUUCGGGCCUCUUGCCAUCGGAUGUGCCCAGGUGGGAUUAGCUAGUAGGUGGGGUAAAGGCUCACCUAGGCGACGAUCCCUAGCUGGUCUGAGAGGAUGACCAGCCACACUGGAACUGAGACACGGUCCAG
This 235-nucleotide ribosomal RNA is filed under the name uncultured bacterium. RNAcentral's name for it is "partial 16S ribosomal RNA". It matches the Rfam family "Bacterial small subunit ribosomal RNA", at positions 96 to 334 of the family's 1533-position model. The record is from RNAcentral.